CUCCAGGGCAACCGUGGCUUUCGAUUGUUACUGUGGGAACUGGAGGUAACAGUCUACAGCCAUGGUCGCCCCGCAGCA
Molecule: microRNA precursor, 78 nt
Organism: Chlorocebus sabaeus (green monkey)
Lineage: Eukaryota; Metazoa; Chordata; Mammalia; Primates; Cercopithecidae
Rfam family: mir-132 microRNA precursor family
Source: Rfam